This 253-nucleotide ribosomal RNA is filed under the name uncultured bacterium. RNAcentral's name for it is "partial 16S ribosomal RNA". It matches the Rfam family "Bacterial small subunit ribosomal RNA", at positions 524 to 776 of the family's 1533-position model. The record is from RNAcentral.
UACAGAGGGUGCGAGCGUUGUUCGGAAUUAUUGGGCGUAAAGAGCUCGUAGGCGGUUUGUUGCGUCGGCCGUGAAAACCUGCAGCUUAACUGUGGGCCUGCGGCCGAUACGGGCAGACUUGAGUUCGGUAGGGGAGACUGGAAUUCCUGGUGUAGCGGUGAAAUGCGCAGAUAUCAGGAGGAACACCGGUGGCGAAGGCGGGUCUCUGGGCCGAUACUGACGCUGAGGAGCGAAAGCGUGGGGAGCGAACAGG